Molecule: unclassified non-coding RNA, 1740 nt
Filed under: Hevea brasiliensis (rubber tree)
Lineage: Eukaryota; Viridiplantae; Streptophyta; Magnoliopsida; Malpighiales; Euphorbiaceae
Source: RNAcentral
AUUCCCCUCUCCUCCAUCUUCUUCAUCUUUCCCUCCUCUUCUUUCAGCAAAACUAUUACCUUCUUUUUUCUCAAUUCACAUUACACUAAUCUUAGAUUUUGUCUGAAAAGAAAAAUUUCAUAUCUUUGGGAUCUUCGCCUUUUGUACUGCGGAAGAGAUUCAUGAAGGGCUUCUUUCGACCUUUAACUAGGCUUGGAGCUCUUAGAGCCUAUGCGGCAUCGUUUAGUAGAUCAAAGCUGCGGCUUGAAGGGGUUAAGGAUGUUAUUGCUGUUGCUUCUGGUAAAGGCGGCGUGGGCAAGUCCACCACUGCUGUUAAUUUGGCUGUUGCCCUUGCUAACAAGUGCCAUCUGAAAGUGGGUUUGCUUGAUGCUGAUGUUUAUGGGCCAUCUGUUCCAACGAUGAUGAAGAUCAGCAAAAAGCCAGAUGUCACUGAAGAUGCAAAGAUGAUACCAAUUGAAAAUUAUGGAGUUAGGUGUAUGUCAAUGGGAUUUCUUGUGGAGAAUGAUGCCCCUAUUGUGUGGAGAGGUCCCAUGGUGAUGAGUGCUCUUGAGAAAAUGCUGAGGGGAGUUGAUUGGGGAAAUCUUGACAUACUUGUGGUGGAUAUGCCCCCUGGUACUGGUGAUGCUCAGAUAACUAUGAGUCAAAAUCUGCAAUUAUCAGGUGCUAUUAUUGUCUCAACUCCACAAGAUGUUGCAUUAAUAGAUGCUCGUAGAGGAGUUAAAAUGUUCUCAAAAGUUCAAGUUCCUAUUUUGGGAUUUGUAGAGAACAUGAGCUGCUUCAAGUGUCCACAUUGUGGUGAACCUUCUUUCAUUUUUGGGGAAGGAGGAACCCGAAAGACAGCUGCUUCAAUGGGUUAUAAUUUUAUUGGUGAGAUACCAUUAGAAGUGGAGAUCAGAAAAAGUGGCGAUGAAGGUGUCCCAAUAACAAUAUCAUCACCUGACUCUGUAGUCUCCAAGGCAUAUGGCGAUGCAGCACAAAAUCUUGUUAAGAGACUUGAGGAAUUGGCAAAGGAACAAAUUCUUCAACCAGAGAUUAAUCUAUGAUGAAAUGGUGCUGCUUGGUGAAUGGUUGCCUUAAAUAUCAUAAGAUGGUCAUGUUAACCAGUAUACUUGGUCAUGCUUUUGUAAUUGCACUAGGUACCAAAAUGGUAUGUUAUGAAUGCCAAUUUGAUUCAUUUAUCCUUUUCACUGUUUGAAGAAGAAAUUAAUGUAUUCUAGGCAUGAUUAGAUUGGAAGUACACUCAGUAGGUAGCAACUUUGAUAAAGUUGAAAUUGGGACUGUUUUGCACUAGAUGGACUGCAAAUUGCCAACUAGGGAUGCAAUGGUUUUGCCGAAGGAUGAGUUUGUUAAUCAAAUAAUGACCGUUUGUUGUAAUCACUUCAAAUGUUUAGCCGCAAUAUGGCAUAUAUUUGCUUUCUCCCUUUUUUUCUUUGUGGUUAUAUCACUGAUAGUGAAUUUGUAGUUAAUAUUGGGGACAUUAAUUUGAUAAUUACUGAAAACUAGAUUGUGAUGAGUUAUAGGAGAAAACCUUGUGUUUGGCCAAAAGCUGCAUCUGCAUGCAAGUUUGCAAUAUCCUUGUGGGAGCUGAAGGUGUUUGGAGGCUCCAGUCUGAAAUUCUGUGUGUAUUCUCUUGUUUAGCACGAUGUUGAUUGUGUGGUGUUGAGUUCAUUUCAACAAAAGGAGUAAUGCACCAUUCUUUUUCAACGGUUGGGAGGAAGAAAGGAAACUGGAAUCUGUGAC